RNAcentral lists this unclassified non-coding RNA (264 nucleotides) under uncultured Plectosphaerella. RNAcentral's name for it is "sequence contains ITS2". The record is from RNAcentral. Lineage: Eukaryota; Fungi; Ascomycota; Sordariomycetes; Glomerellales; Plectosphaerellaceae.
AACGCACAUGGCGCCUUCCAGUAUCCUGGGAGGCAUGCCUGUCCGAGCGUCGUUUCAACCCUCGAGCCCCCGUGGCCCGGCGUUGGGGAUCUGCCACGGCAGGCCCCUAAAACCAGUGGCGGACCCGAAGGGCCCUCUCCUUUGCGCAGUAGCAUUCGCCUCGCAUCGGGAGUCCUCGGCGUCCUGCCUCUAAACCCCCCACAAGCCCGCUUCGGCGGCACCAAGGUUGACCUCGGAUCAGGUAGGAAUACCCGCUGAACUUAA